This 139-nucleotide ribosomal RNA is filed under the name uncultured bacterium. RNAcentral's name for it is "partial 16S ribosomal RNA". It matches the Rfam family "Bacterial small subunit ribosomal RNA", at positions 355 to 488 of the family's 1533-position model. The record is from RNAcentral.
UGGGGAAUAUUGGACAAUGGGCGAAAGCCUGAUCCAGCCAUGCCGCGUGUGUGAAGAAGGUCUUCGGAUUGUAAAGCACUUUAAGUUGGGAGGAAGGGUUGUAGAUUAAUACUCUGCAAUUUGACGUACCGACAGAAUA